RNAcentral lists this transfer RNA (69 nucleotides) under Ictidomys tridecemlineatus (thirteen-lined ground squirrel). Its description in RNAcentral is "Spermophilus tridecemlineatus (thirteen-lined ground squirrel) tRNA". It matches the Rfam family "tRNA". Rfam says of the family: Transfer RNA (tRNA) molecules are approximately 80 nucleotides in length. Their secondary structure includes four short double-helical elements and three loops (D, anti-codon, and T loops). The record is from Rfam by way of RNAcentral. Lineage: Eukaryota; Metazoa; Chordata; Mammalia; Rodentia; Sciuridae.
GGGGUUGUGGCUCAGUGGUAGAGUGCUUGCCUCUAAUGUAUGAGGCCCUGGGUUCAAUUCUCAGCACCA